Molecule: ribosomal RNA, 466 nt
Filed under: uncultured bacterium
Lineage: Bacteria
Description: partial 16S ribosomal RNA
Rfam family: Bacterial small subunit ribosomal RNA
Source: RNAcentral
GACGAACGCUGGCGGCGUGCUUAACACAUGCAAGUCGAACGAUGAAGCCCAGCCUGGUGGGUGGAUUAGUGGUGAACGGGUGAGUAACACGUGUGUAACCUGCCCAUCACCCUGGGAUAAGCCCGGGUAACUGGGUCUAUUAUCGGACAGAAGCGUCCACGCCAUGGUGGGGGUUGGAGUGAUUUAUCGUGUUUGGUUGGGCUCGGGGCCUAUCAGCUUGCUGGUGAGGUAUUGGCUCACCAAGGCGACGACGGGUAGCCGGCCUGAGAGGGGGACCGGCCCCGCUGGGCCUGAGACACGGCCCAGACUCCUACGGGAGGGAGCGGUGGGGUAUAUUGCACAGUGGGCGCAAGCCUGAUGCAGCGAAGCCGCGUGGGGGAUGUCGGCCUGCGGGUUGUAAUCCUCUGUCAGUAGGGAAGAAGCGAAAGUGACGGUACCUGCAGAAGAAGCACCGGCUAACUACGUG